GAUGCUGGUGGUGGCACCCCUGGUGUCCAGGGUGGGGUUCAAGUCCCUGCAGCAUC
This 56-nucleotide small RNA is filed under the name Alligator mississippiensis (American alligator). Lineage: Eukaryota; Metazoa; Chordata; Crocodylia; Alligatoridae. RNAcentral also lists the same sequence under 1 other name. The record is from RNAcentral.